Molecule: non-coding RNA, 54 nt
Organism: Salmo salar (Atlantic salmon)
Lineage: Eukaryota; Metazoa; Chordata; Actinopteri; Salmoniformes; Salmonidae
Source: Rfam
CGCAUUCACUAUUGUAAGUCACUCUGUAUAAGAGCGUCUGCUAAAUGACAUAAA